AACGUAGGAGGCGAGCGUUAUCCGGAGUUACUGGGCGUAAAGCGUCUGUAGGCGGUUGGCCAAGUUGCGUGUGAAAGCGCCCGGCUAAACUGGGCGAGGACACGUAAGACUGGUCGGCUAGAGGGUGGUAGAGGGGUGCAGAAUUCCGGGAGUAGCGGUGAAAUGUGUAGAGAUCCGGAGGAAUACCAGUGGCGCAAGCGGCACCCUGGGCCAUACCUGACGCUGAGAGACGAAAGCGUGGGGAGCGAACGGG
This 253-nucleotide ribosomal RNA is filed under the name uncultured bacterium. RNAcentral describes it as "partial 16S ribosomal RNA". It matches the Rfam family "Bacterial small subunit ribosomal RNA", at positions 524 to 776 of the family's 1533-position model. The record is from RNAcentral.